UCAUGAAUUGAUACCGCAUUUUUGAACUCCUCCCUGCUUCCAAAUGUAUAUUCUAAUGCUAAUAUAGGAUGUUUUGCUUCAGUUUUUGGGUUAUGCUUUGGAAAAUGAAAGCACUCAUUAUCAGAAUCACCAUUCAAACUCUUCUGAUCUUCAGAGUCCACACAAUCUGAAUCUCCAUCUUCAUUAGACAAUUUCCUCAGAACUUUGUCGUUAAUAAGUUUCCUUCCAUCCUCAAAGCUUUGCUUUUUUUGUCCAUGUCUUUCAAGGAUGACAUCGUCACCGGAUAAUUCAUUUUCUGAAUCUUCAAACUCAUCAGAAUUGUAUGUGUCACCACAUUAUAUAUGCUCUUGGUUUAAUGUACAAUUUGUGUGGCCUAUAAUCUCACCUGAAUCUACUUCAAUGUAGGAGUCCAAAUGUUCAAAAUACAACUCAAC
RNAcentral lists this long non-coding RNA (434 nucleotides) under Solanum tuberosum (potato). RNAcentral's name for it is "long non-coding RNA (STUB_LNC005776)". The record is from RNAcentral. Lineage: Eukaryota; Viridiplantae; Streptophyta; Magnoliopsida; Solanales; Solanaceae.